RNAcentral lists this ribosomal RNA (406 nucleotides) under uncultured bacterium. RNAcentral describes it as "partial 16S ribosomal RNA". It matches the Rfam family "Bacterial small subunit ribosomal RNA", at positions 30 to 526 of the family's 1533-position model. The record is from RNAcentral.
AUUGAACGCUGGCGGCAGGCCUAACACAUGCAAGUCGAACGAGUGGCGGACGGGUGAGUAAUGUCUGGGAAACUGCCUGAUGGAGGGGGAUAACUACUGGAAACGGUAGCUAAUACCGCAUACCAUCAGAUGUGCCCAGAUGGGGUUAGCUAGUUGGUGGGGUAACGGCUCACCACGGCGACGCACCCUAGCUGGUCUGAGAGGAUGACUAGCCACACUGGAAAUGAGACACGGGCCAGACUCCUACGUGAGGCAGCAGUGGGGAAGAUGUCGCACUGGGCGCAAGCCGGAUGUAGCCAUGCCGCGUGUAUGAAGAAGGCCUUCGGGUUGUAAAGUACUUUCAGCGGGGAGGCGUUACCCGCAGAAGAGGCACCGGCUAACUCCGUGCCAGCCGCCGCGGUAAUAC